Molecule: ribosomal RNA, 253 nt
Filed under: uncultured bacterium
Lineage: Bacteria
Description: partial 16S ribosomal RNA
Rfam family: Bacterial small subunit ribosomal RNA
Source: RNAcentral
GACGAACCGUCCAACCGUUAUUCGGAAUUACUGGGCUUAAAGGGUGCGUAGGCGGCCUGACAAGUUGGGUGUGAAAUACCUCGGCUCAACCGAGGAACAGCGCUCAAAACUGUCAGGCUUGAGGGAGAUAGAGGUGAGCGGAACUUAAGGUGGAGCGGUGAAAUGCGUUGAUAUCUUAAGGAACACCCGUGGCGAAAGCGGCUCACUGGAUCUCUUCUGACGCUCAUGCACGAAAGCUAGGGGAGCAAACGGG